AGUCAACCUGCCCUAGGGACGUGGACAAACCACGGGAAACUGUGGCUAAACCGCGAUAGGCCAUCGCUGCUGGAAUGGGCAAUGGCUCAAACCUACAUGGCCCUAGGAUGGGACUGCGGCCGAUCAGGUUGUUGGCGGGGUAAUGGCCCACCAAGCCUGUAACCGGUACGGGCUCUGAGAGGAGGAGCCCGGAGAUGGGCACUGAGACAAGGGCCCAGGUCCUAUGGGACGCAGCAGGCGCGAAACCUUCGCAAUAGGCGAAAGCCUGACGAGGUUAAUCCGAGUGUUUUCUGCUAAAGGAAUCUUUUGUCAGCUCUAAAUAGGCUGGUGAAUAAGGGGUGGGCAAGCCUGGUGUCAGCCGCCGCGGUAAUACCAGCACCCCGAGUGGUCGGGAUGAUUAUUGGGCCUAAAGCAUCCGUAGCCGGUCCUGCAAGUCUUCCGUUAAAUCCACCUGCUCAACAGUUGGGCUGCGGGAGAUACUGUAGGACUAGGAGGCGGGAGAGGCGAGGGGUAUUCCUUGGGUAGGGGUAAAAUCCUCUGAUCCAUGGAGGACCACCAGUGGCGAAGGCGUCUCGCCAGAACGCGCUCGACGGUGAGGGAUGAAAGCUGGGGGAGCAAACCGGAUUAGAUACCCGGGUAGUCCCAGCUGUAAACGAUGCAGGCUCGGUGAUGGACUGGCUUCGAGCCAGUCCAGUGCCGCAGGGAAGCCGUUAAGCCUGCCGCCUGGGGAGUACGGUUGCAAGACUGAAACUUAAAGGAAUUGGCGGGGGAGCACCACAAGGGGUGAAGCCUGCGGUUC
This 799-nucleotide ribosomal RNA is filed under the name uncultured archaeon. Its description in RNAcentral is "bacterial SSU rRNA". It matches the Rfam family "Archaeal small subunit ribosomal RNA", at positions 102 to 903 of the family's 1478-position model. The record is from RNAcentral.